RNAcentral lists this ribosomal RNA (232 nucleotides) under uncultured bacterium. RNAcentral describes it as "partial 16S ribosomal RNA". It matches the Rfam family "Bacterial small subunit ribosomal RNA", at positions 104 to 334 of the family's 1533-position model. The record is from RNAcentral.
CGGGGUGAGUAACGCGUGGGUGACCUGCCCCAUACCGGGGGAUAACAGCUGGAAACGGCUGCUAAUACCGCAUAAGCGCACAGAGCUGCAUGGCUCAGUGUGAAAAACUCCGGUGGUAUGGGAUGGGCCCGCGUCUGAUUAGGCAGUUGGCGGGGUAACGGCCCACCAAACCGACGAUCAGUAGCCGGCCUGAGAGGGCGACCGGCCACAUUGGGACUGAGACACGGCCCAA